This 582-nucleotide ribosomal RNA is filed under the name Escherichia coli. Its description in RNAcentral is "partial 23S ribosomal RNA". It matches the Rfam family "Bacterial large subunit ribosomal RNA", at positions 407 to 987 of the family's 2925-position model. The record is from RNAcentral. Lineage: Bacteria; Pseudomonadati; Pseudomonadota; Gammaproteobacteria; Enterobacterales; Enterobacteriaceae.
GAUGAGUAGGGCGGGACACGUGGUAUCCUGUCUGAAUAUGGGGGGACCAUCCUCCAAGGCUAAAUACUCCUGACUGACCGAUAGUGAACCAGUACCGUGAGGGAAAGGCGAAAAGAACCCCGGCGAGGGGAGUGAAAAAGAACCUGAAACCGUGUACGUACAAGCAGUGGGAGCACAGAGCAAUCUGUGUGACUGCGUACCUUUUGUAUAAUGGGUCAGCGACUUAUAUUCUGUAGCAAGGUUAACCGAAUAGGGGAGCCGAAGGGAAACCGAGUCUUAACUGGGCGUUAAGUUGCAGGGUAUAGACCCGAAACCCGGUGAUCUAGCCAUGGGCAGGUUGAAGGUUGGGUAACACUAACUGGAGGACCGAACCGACUAAUGUUGAAAAAUUAGCGGAUGACUUGUGGCUGGGGGUGAAAGGCCAAUCAAACCGGGAGAUAGCUGGUUCUCCCCGAAAGCUAUUUAGGUAGCGCCUCGUGAAUUCAUCUCCGGGGGUAGAGCACUGUUUCGGCAAGGGGGUCAUCCCGACUUACCAACCCGAUGCAAACUGCGAAUACCGGAGAAUGUUAUCACGGGAGACAC